UACGGGGGGGGUAAGCGUUGUUCGGAAUUACUGGGCGUAAAGGGCUCGUAGGCGGCCAACUAAGUCAUACGUGAAAUCCCUCAGCUUAACUGGGGAACUGCGUGUGAUACUGGAUGGCUUGGAUUUGGGAGAGGGAUGCGGAAUUCCAGGUGUAGCGGUGAAAUGCGUAGAUAUCUGGAGGAACACCGGUGGCGAAGGCGGCAUCCUGGACCACAACUGACGCUGAGGCGCGAAAGCUAGGGGAGCAAACAGG
Molecule: ribosomal RNA, 253 nt
Filed under: uncultured bacterium
Lineage: Bacteria
Description: partial 16S ribosomal RNA
Rfam family: Bacterial small subunit ribosomal RNA
Source: RNAcentral